GGCCUUUUGUCCCUCCUUAGAAGCAGCAGCUGCCUAUCCACGGAAGAAGAGAGGGCCCCUUCCCUGGUAUCCUAACGCUUUGUUUCAGAGUCGAAAUGAUCCAGGAUGGAGAUUGGGAACUGGAUUCACUCCAGGGUAAAAAGACUCCAGCUGCACGGUUGCCUUGGGAAGCCAGGAAAUGGGCCUGUAGGGCAUCUCUAUGAGCAGAAAGAGGACUGAGAAACCAUUCCAGAAGGAUUCCUGUCAGUGCCAGAGAGAUGUGAGAUGAAGACCUGAUCUGACUGACAGAUUAAAUGACUUUGAUACAUAUAAUAUUCAGAUAAAACAAUCACACAUAAUUGGAAAUAUCUGUUCUAAUCAAAAGUCUUUGAGAGCAAAUUAAUCUUCCCG
This 390-nucleotide long non-coding RNA is filed under the name Anser brachyrhynchus (Pink-footed goose). RNAcentral's name for it is "lncRNA (ENSABRG00000012616.1)". Lineage: Eukaryota; Metazoa; Chordata; Aves; Anseriformes; Anatidae. The record is from RNAcentral.